RNAcentral lists this ribosomal RNA (566 nucleotides) under uncultured archaeon. Its description in RNAcentral is "bacterial SSU rRNA". It matches the Rfam family "Archaeal small subunit ribosomal RNA", at positions 313 to 879 of the family's 1478-position model. The record is from RNAcentral.
GCCAUUCGCCCUUCGGGGUGCACCAGGCGCGAAAACUUUACAAUGCUGGCAACAGCGAUAAGGGGACCUUGAGUGCCAGGAUACAAUCCUGGCUGUCGUGAUGCCUAAAAAGCAUUAUAUAGCAAGGGCCGGGCAAGACCGGUGCCAGCCGCCGCGGUAACACCGGCGGCUCGAGUGGUAACCGCUAUUAUUGGGUCUAAAGGGUCUGUAGCCGGCUUGGUUAGUCUCUUGGGAAAUCCGGCAGCUUAACUGUCGGGCUUUCAGGAGAUACUGCCAGGCUCGAGACCGGGAGAGGUGAGAGGUACUUCAUGGGUAGGGGUGAAAUCUUGUAAUCCUUGAAGGACCACCAGUGGCGAAGGCGUCUCACCAGAACGGAUCUGACGGCAAGGGACGAAAGCUAGGGGCACGAACCGGAUUAGAUACCCGGGUAGUCCUAGCCGUAAACGAUACUCGCUAGGUGUCGGCCACGGUGCGACCGUGGUCGGUGCCGUAGGGAAGCCGUGAAGCGAGCCACCUGGGAAGUACGGCCGCAAGGCUGAAACUUAAAGGAAUUGGCGGGGGAGCAC